This 383-nucleotide ribosomal RNA is filed under the name uncultured cyanobacterium. RNAcentral's name for it is "bacterial SSU rRNA". It matches the Rfam family "Bacterial small subunit ribosomal RNA", at positions 397 to 795 of the family's 1533-position model. Lineage: Bacteria; Bacillati; Cyanobacteriota. The record is from RNAcentral.
CCGCGUGAGGGAGGAAGGCUCUUGGGUUGUAAACCUCUUUUCUCAGGGAAGAAGCUCUGACGGUACCUGAGGAAUCAGCCUCGGCUAACUCCGUGCCAGCAGCCGCGGUAAUACGGAGGAGGCAAGCGUUAUCCGGAAUUAUUGGGCGUAAAGCGUCCGCAGGUGGCGAUUCAAGUCUGCUGUCAAAGCACGGGGCUUAACUCCGUUAAGGCAGUGGAAACUGAAUAGCUAGAGUGCCGUAGGGGUAGAGGGAAUUCCCGGUGUAGCGGUGAAAUGCGUAGAGAUCGGGAAGAACAUCGGUGGCGAAAGCGCUCUACUGGACGGCAACUGACACUCAGGGACGAAAGCUAGGGGAGCGAAUGGGAUUAGAUACCCCAGUAGUC